RNAcentral lists this ribosomal RNA (236 nucleotides) under uncultured Pseudonocardia sp. RNAcentral describes it as "partial 16S ribosomal RNA". It matches the Rfam family "Bacterial small subunit ribosomal RNA", at positions 963 to 1200 of the family's 1533-position model. Lineage: Bacteria; Bacillati; Actinomycetota; Actinomycetes; Pseudonocardiales; Pseudonocardiaceae. The record is from RNAcentral.
GAAGAACCUUACCUGGGUUUGACAUGCACAGGAUCGCCGCAGAGAUGUCGUUUCCCUUGUGGCCGGUGUGCAGGUGGUGCAUGGCUGUCGUCAGCUCGUGUCGUGAGAUGUUGGGUUAAGUCCCGCAACGAGCGCAACCCUUGUUCCAUGUUGCCAGCACGUGAUGGUGGGGACUCAUGGGAGACUGCCGGGGUCAACUCGGAGGAAGGUGGGGAUGACGUCAAGUCAUCAUGCCC